GCCAGCGCGGUGGCACGUGCUUGUAGUCCCAGCUACUCAAGAGGCUGAGGUGGGAGGAUUGCUUGAGCCCAGGAGUUCUGGGCUGUAGUGUGCUAUGCCGAUCAGAUGUCUGUUGUAAGUUCAGCACAAAUAUGGUGACCUUCUGGGAGUGGGGGACCACCAGGUUGCCUAAGGAGGGGUGAACCAGCCCAAGUCAGAGAUGGAGCAGGUCAAAACCCCAGUGCUGAUCAGUAGUGGGAUUGCACCUGUGAAUAGCCACUGCACUCCAGCCUGGGCAACAUAGCGAGACCCUGUCUCU
This 298-nucleotide signal recognition particle RNA is filed under the name Saimiri boliviensis boliviensis (Bolivian squirrel monkey). Its description in RNAcentral is "Metazoan signal recognition particle RNA (ENSSBOG00000002667.1)". It matches the Rfam family "Metazoan signal recognition particle RNA". Rfam says of the family: The signal recognition particle (SRP) is a universally conserved ribonucleoprotein. Lineage: Eukaryota; Metazoa; Chordata; Mammalia; Primates; Cebidae. The record is from RNAcentral.